Molecule: long non-coding RNA, 2550 nt
Filed under: Sus scrofa (pig)
Lineage: Eukaryota; Metazoa; Chordata; Mammalia; Artiodactyla; Suidae
Description: lncRNA (ENSSSCG00055013789.1)
Source: RNAcentral
GCAUGUUCUCUUAACUCAUGAAGUCCCUAAAGGGUGAUUUGCUCCUGGACGGCUAGGGCGGGGAAGGGUGUGGAGUUAAUCAUUUAAAAAACUGUGAAUCAGACCUGUAUUUGCUGAGCUUUUCUUUCUAUAGCAACUCCAGAUUUGUGUUGUGUUCAGCAAGUAUGGAUCCAGCUACCUUCAAAUAUUAAAUGUCCUCUGGGAUGGGACCCAAAGACGCUCUAGUGACCAUGGUCACACAGGUUCAAAAAUGAAUAAAUCAGUCCUGAAACUUGAGGCGGGGUGGGAACAGGAUAAUGGAAAGCCUACACAUGAAAUUCCAUUGACGAGGGCCCCUGGGACGGCAUUGAUUGCUCCUGGAGAGAAAUGAAUUGUAACGAGAGAAAUGACAAGGUGACUGAGCCAUUUUUGUCUUUAAAUAUAGCAACAAUACUCUUGUUGGGGAUAAUUUCAGCAAAUGACUGAAUAGGGGAGUCCAAUUCAGGUAGCAUCAUAGAAAAGGAGCCAUAAAAUACAUUAUCUACCCAAAUUUUCUUCCUGCUUAAUGUGAUGUUUUAAUAUUAUUUAUACAGCCUUUUAUUAUUGCCAGGUAGAAAUACAUACAUAUAAAUGUGUGACAUCCGUCGUCUUCGUUUUGAAAAAAAUAUCCUGUUACUAAAUCUCGCUUGAAGUGAAGACAGCCUCACAGGAUUUUUCAAAAGACAGAUCUCCCAUGAAUCAUCUUGCUCCUCCCCAAGCCAGGCUACUGCAAACAGCACAGGAAUGAAUGGUCUUGAAAAUGCUGGGGAGGGAGUUGUUGUGGCUCAGGGGUAAUGAACCCGACUGGUAUCCAUGAGGACAAGAGUUCAAUCACUGGCCCUGCUCAGUGGGUUAAGGAUCUGGCAUUGCCCAUGAGCUGUGGUGGAGGUCAAAGACCGGCUCAGAUCUCCCAUUGCUGUGGCUGUAGUGCAAACCGGUAGCUGCAGCUCCGAUUCGACCCCUAGCCUGGGGACCUCCAUAUGCCACACCUGAAGCACUAAAAAGCGGAAGGGAGGAAAGGAGGGAGGGAGGGAGGGAAAGGAGGAAGGGAAGAAGGGAGGAAGGGGAAAGACCAAAGACCUCCACUUAUUGGUGGAGGGGAUUUAACUUCUUAAUUCAGAGUGAUGGGUGAGAUCAUCGCCUACAUUAUAUUUCCUAGAAUAUGUGGGUUUCGGUUAGGGCUCAGGGUCACUGGAAGCAGAUUAAUCAAAACAAAAAAAAAAUUUUUUAAAUACAUUCUUAACCUGAGAGAUUUUUUUGUAAUCGAGCAUUAGAAUGCAAGUGUAAACACAGAAGUUUCCAGAGAGUGCGAGAAACUGCUGUUUUCUUCCUUCUGUAGCCUCUUGCAUUGUUUUGUGAUGGCAAUCCCCCACCUUCCUCUGCAGCCUCGUUUUCAACCACUUUGCUCAGUGGGUUUGGAUAGUGGGUCUCACACUUGAAGGCGUUCGGAUAUUUUGAGGGUACUUAUUACAGAGGCAGGAGACUGACCCCACCUUAGAUCUACAGGAGCUCUGGGGGUGGGGCGGGACUCUUCAUUUUAAAUAAGCCACAGGCUCACUUCUGACCCAUAAGCACUAGCUAGAGCCCUGUUUUUUUGGACUCUCCAUUCCUCUAUCAACUCCCCUUGAGAGAGGAAGGAGCGCUUCUCAAACGCACGUUGACUCACCUGGAAAUCUCAUGCAAAUACAGAGUUUGAUUCCACUGGUCUGGGGUGGGACCUGAGCGUCGGCCUUCCUAGCAAGCCCCCAGAUGAUGCUGAUGCUGCUGGGCCAAGGACCACAUCUUGAGUAGCAAGGAUUUAAACCAAGAAAUCUGUGACCUUUUACAGAAUGCCCCUCCCUGCCCCUACUGUCAUUCCCACUGAAGGAAAUUUCAUCCUACCUGAUGUAACCCUGAAAAAUGUCCCUACUUGGGCUUCUUUAAAUUGCAGGCUUGCUUCUUCAGCCAUAAAGCCUGGAGGCUGACUCAGCAUUUACAGUACGUUAUUCUAAGCACAUAAAAUCCAUGGCAAAAUUAGCUAUCAUUUCACAAUGCACCGUCAAUAAUGCAUGGCCUGGUGAUUAGACAUAAGCAGGCUACACAAUUGCCUUAACAUUACUUUCACACAAAUCCCACCUUUAGAAUUUGCCUUCUUAUUCAAUCGGGUUCCUUCCAAUACACAAUCCUGUUCUCACUCACCCAGUGAUGUGAAUAAGCCUAAACUGGGGUAUAGAUGAUUGUGCGAUGCCAUUUUGUGUUUGACAGGGAAAACAGAAAGGCAUUUGCAAGGUAAAUCAUUAAAGAAAGCAAAGUCAGAGAAAGGUAAAAUCAGAAUUUCCCAGAUUUAGGAGUUCCCAUUGUGGCUUAGUGGUAACAAAUCUGACUAGUAUCCAUGAGGAUGCCGGUUCGAUCCCUGGCCUUGCUUAGUGGGUUAAGGACCCUGCAUUGCUGUGGCUGUGGUGUAGGCUGGCAGCUGUAACUCUGAUUUGACCCCUAGCCUGGGAACUUCCCUAUGCCACAGGUGAGGCCCUGAAAAGACAAAAAAAAAAAAAA